This 476-nucleotide ribosomal RNA is filed under the name Staphylococcus haemolyticus. Its description in RNAcentral is "bacterial SSU rRNA". It matches the Rfam family "Bacterial small subunit ribosomal RNA", at positions 1 to 466 of the family's 1533-position model. Lineage: Bacteria; Bacillati; Bacillota; Bacilli; Caryophanales; Staphylococcaceae. RNAcentral also lists the same sequence under 1 other name. The record is from RNAcentral.
UUUAUGGAGAGUUUGAUCCUGGCUCAGGAUGAACGCUGGCGGCGUGCCUAAUACAUGCAAGUCGAGCGAACAGAUAAGGAGCUUGCUCCUUUGACGUUAGCGGCGGACGGGUGAGUAACACGUGGGUAACCUACCUAUAAGACUGGGAUAACUUCGGGAAACCGGAGCUAAUACCGGAUAAUAUUUCGAACCGCAUGGUUCGAUAGUGAAAGAUGGUUUUGCUAUCACUUAUAGAUGGACCCGCGCCGUAUUAGCUAGUUGGUAAGGUAACGGCUUACCAAGGCGACGAUACGUAGCCGACCUGAGAGGGUGAUCGGCCACACUGGAACUGAGACACGGUCCAGACUCCUACGGGAGGCAGCAGUAGGGAAUCUUCCGCAAUGGGCGAAAGCCUGACGGAGCAACGCCGCGUGAGUGAUGAAGGUCUUCGGAUCGUAAAACUCUGUUAUUAGGGAAGAACAUACGUGUAAGUAACU